UUAUAUUUACUCUCAUUUCCUCUGCCUCUCCCUUUCUCUCACGAAUCUAAAAAUCAAACUUCCCCUUCUUUUACAAAUUUACUAAUUUGGAUUUUUCUUCUCUCUUUACUCGACGCCGCUCGCUCUCUCUUUCUCCGAAAAAAGGUUUGUUCACCAAUUCACCUCUUUCUUUCCUCUGUUUUCUCUUAGUUUCACUGCAUC
This 201-nucleotide long non-coding RNA is filed under the name Nicotiana benthamiana. RNAcentral's name for it is "long non-coding RNA (NBEN_LNC031152)". The record is from RNAcentral. Lineage: Eukaryota; Viridiplantae; Streptophyta; Magnoliopsida; Solanales; Solanaceae.